This 345-nucleotide unclassified non-coding RNA is filed under the name soil metagenome. Its description in RNAcentral is "partial contains 5.8S ribosomal RNA, internal transcribed spacer 2, and large subunit ribosomal RNA". The stretch from base 1 to 120 matches the Rfam family "5.8S ribosomal RNA", at positions 35 to 154 of the family's 154-position model. The record is from RNAcentral.
GAUGAAGAACGUAGCGAAAUGCGAUACGUAAUGUGAAUUGCAGAAUUCAGUGAAUCAUCGAGUCUUUGAACGCACAUUGCGCCCCCUGGUAUUCCGGGGGGCAUGCCUGUCCGAGCGUCAUUGCUGCCCUCAAGCACGGCUUGUGUGUUGGGCCUCCGUCCUCCUCCCGGGGGACGGACCCGAAAGGCAGCGGCGGCACCGCGCCCGGUCCUCGAGCGUAUGGGGCUUCGUCACCCGCUCUUGUAGGCCCGGCCGGCGCUUGCCGACACAUCAAUCUUUUUUCCAGGUUGACCUCGGAUCAGGUAGGGAUACCCGCUGAACUUAAGCAUAUCAAUAAGCGGAGGA